AUUGAACGCUGGCGGCAGGCUUAACACAUGCAAGUCGAGCGGGGGAAGGUAGCUUGCUACCGGACCUAGCGGCGGACGGGUGAGUAAUGCUUAGGAAUCUGCCUAUUAGUGGGGGACAACAUCUCGAAAGGGAUGCUAAUACCGCAUACGUCCUACGGGAGAAAGCAGGGGAUCUUCGGACCUUGCGCUAAUAGAUGAGCCUAAGUCGGAUUAGCUAGUUGGUGGGGUAAAGGCCUACCAAGGCGACGAUCUGUAGCGGGUCUGAGAGGAUGAUCCGCCACACUGGGACUGAAACACGGCCCAGACUCCUACGGGAGGCAGCAGUGGGGAAUAUUGGACAAUGGGCGGAAGCCUGAUCCAGCCAUGCCGCGUGUGUGAAGAAGGCCUUAUGGUUGUAAAGCACUUUAAGCGAGGAGGAGGCUACUUUAGUUAAUACCUAGAGAUAGUGGACGUUACUCGCAGAAUAAGCACCGGCUAACUCUGUGCCAGCAGCCGCGGUAA
RNAcentral lists this ribosomal RNA (501 nucleotides) under uncultured bacterium. RNAcentral describes it as "partial 16S ribosomal RNA". It matches the Rfam family "Bacterial small subunit ribosomal RNA", at positions 30 to 523 of the family's 1533-position model. The record is from RNAcentral.